AAGUCUCUGCUAAUGUGUAUCUAGUUUAUACUAAGUGACCCAUAGGUUGAGGAGGCGGUGACUGUGGCAGUGGAGGAGGAAGCAGCGGUGGAGGAGGAGGUGGAGGUAGCCAACACUGUAUUUUAUGUUUUUUUGUUUUUUUUAUUUUUUUUAUUGUGGGAAUCAGGGUUCCAUUCCAUACAGGGACCCUGAGAAAUGGCUACCACAUGCAAGGAAGGCAGCAGGCGCGCAAAUGACCCGCUCCUGACGCGGGAAGGUAGUGA
Pelobates cultripes (western spadefoot toad) is the source of this 263-nucleotide non-coding RNA. NCBI's taxonomy places the organism in Eukaryota, Metazoa, Chordata, Amphibia, Anura, Pelobatidae. The record is from the annotation of a GenBank genome assembly.